CCUACGGGAGGCAGCAGUGGGGAAUAUUGCACAAUGGGGGAAACCCUGAUGCAGCGACGCCGCGUGAGUGAAGAAGCGUUUCGGCGCGUAAAGCUCUGUCAGCGGGGAAGAAACACGGUUCGCGAGAGCCGCGGACGGUACCCGACCAAGAAGCCACGGCCAACGACGUGCCAGCAGCCGCGGUAAUACGUAGGGGGCAAGCGUUUGCCGGAUUCACUGGGUGUAAAGGGAGGGUAGACGGGGAGACAAGUCUGGAGGGAAAGUCCGGGGCCCAACCCCGGGACUGUUCUGGAUACUGCCUGGAUGGAGUACAGGAGAGGUAAGUGGAAUUCGUAGUGUAGCGGUGAAAUGCGUAGAUAUUAGGAGGAACACCAGGGGCGAAGGCGGCUUACUGGACUGUAACUGACGUUGAGGCUCGAAAGCGUGGGGAGCAAACAGGAUUAGAUACCCCAGUAGUC
Molecule: ribosomal RNA, 458 nt
Filed under: uncultured bacterium
Lineage: Bacteria
Description: partial 16S ribosomal RNA
Rfam family: Bacterial small subunit ribosomal RNA
Source: RNAcentral